GAUGAACGCUAGCGGCAGGCCUAAUACAUGCAAGUCGAACGGUGUCUUCGGACAUAGUGGCGCACGGGUGCGUAACACGUAUGCAACCUACCUUACAUUGGGGGAUAGCCUUUCGAAAGGGAGAUUAAUACCGCAUAAGACAGUAGCUGGGCAUCCAGCAGCUGUUAAAGAUUUAUCGAUGUAAGCUGGGCAUGCGUCCAAUUAGCUAGUUGGUGAGGUAACGGCUCACCAAGGCUAUGAUUGGUAGGGGAACUGAGAGGUCAAUCCCCCACACUGGCACUGAGAUACGGGCCAGACUCCUACGGGAGGCAGCAGUAGGGAAUAUUGGGCAAUGGACGCAAGUCUGACCCAGCCAUGCCGCGUGCAGGAUGAAGGCGUUAUGCGUUGUAAACUGCUUUUAUACAGGAAGAAACGACUCUUGCGAGAGGCAUUGACGGUACUGUAUGAAUAAGCAUCGGCUAACUCCGUGCCAG
This 473-nucleotide ribosomal RNA is filed under the name uncultured bacterium. RNAcentral describes it as "bacterial SSU rRNA". It matches the Rfam family "Bacterial small subunit ribosomal RNA", at positions 28 to 511 of the family's 1533-position model. The record is from RNAcentral.